RNAcentral lists this long non-coding RNA (464 nucleotides) under Capsicum annuum. RNAcentral describes it as "long non-coding RNA (CANN_LNC004594)". Lineage: Eukaryota; Viridiplantae; Streptophyta; Magnoliopsida; Solanales; Solanaceae. The record is from RNAcentral.
UUCUCUCAGAUCUCUAACUUUUCUUUACUUUUUUUUUUCAAGUUUUCUUUUUUCCGAUUUUCCACCGUCUUUCACCCUUCUCCACAUCGAUAUUUAUACCCGAAAUUCAGACGUGAAAUUUCGGAUUUAAACACAAGAUAAAAAUUCCAAUGGAUGAAACUCCAUAUGGAGAAAAACCCCAUUCAACAACCAAAUUUCCCAGCUUUUUGCCAUCCCUUUUGGUGAUUUUCGGACUUCAAAAACUCGGAUUUGAAAUUGAUUUUGAGUCAUUGCACCAAACUGGGACCUGUUUCUUUCUGAUUUUGUGGAUUCGAUGGGUUGGACGUUUAGAAAAGAGAGAGAUUUUCUGACAGGGAUGUCAGCCACAUCUGCCAUGGCCUCAGGCUAUAGUGAUUUUGGGGUUUUUUUAUUCAAGGGGUAGAGGAGAAAGGAAGAGAUGAGAGGGGGGAGAGAGAGGUCGCCCA